RNAcentral lists this long non-coding RNA (1082 nucleotides) under Homo sapiens (human). Its description in RNAcentral is "long intergenic non-protein coding RNA 1515". Lineage: Eukaryota; Metazoa; Chordata; Mammalia; Primates; Hominidae. The record is from RNAcentral.
ACAGAAGUUGGUGCCCUUUGCAGCAGCCAGGAGUCCGACUCCUCCUCUUCCUGUGUGGAACCUGGAAUUCAAACGGCUGGAGUCAAAGAAACUUUGAACUAUUUAUGGCCUUUAAUAAUUAAGUAAGGUAUACUCCUGUGAUCAAGACUUGGAGCAUAUUUGUUUCUCUCUGCCUGGUUCCUCUAGAAAUUGGAAACUAUCAGAACAGAGACCAACUCCGUUUCCCGAUCCCUUUGCAAUCUGCAUUGAACCAUGAGUCAAGUUCUUGAUAAAGGAGUGAAAAUGGUAAGUCUAAAGCAAUGAAAAGCUGCUGUAUUGACUACACAUGCCUUCAUUUCUUCUACCCUGCUUCUUUCAUGCCUGCUUAUCUGAAUGACACCAGGAUGACAUUUAAGGCACAUCUGAAGAUGGGGAAACCACAGCACAGAAUAAGGCUGGGCCCUUGAAUCAAUAAAUGAAGGAGAACUACUCAAGAGAACAAAACCACCAGCAAUAUCCACCUGUAUUUGUCUUUUCAUAAUGUGUGACACAUGUGCUCAUGGAUUAUUGUCCGAAGCAAGACAUGUGACCAAGCCUAACAUCAACUGGGUGAAGAGCUAUAUGUUCCUUUCUCAAGAGGCACUACAAGUGACAUGCCACUGGGCAGUUUAGCAAAAGCUGGAGGUGCCUUGACAUUUGCAGUACACUGAAACAGUGGCUGGCUUGAAAAAUCCCAAAACGAUUUUCUGCAGGAGAGCCCUUUUGACUAAUAUGAGAAUAUUUAUGUGUGAAUCAACUAGAGGAAUGAACAUCACCUAAAGACAAAACAGGAUCUUUGUAUACAUCUUCUGGGAAGGAGUUGUUAUCAUUUCCACAAGGCCAAUUGCAUCAUUCGGAUAAAAACAUUAUAUUGUUGUCUUUAUUUGGAAGUAAAAUAUAUUUUAAAGAGAUGUGAAUGAUUAUAAAGUUUAUAAUAGGUAUACUGUGAUGACUUUGUCAAACGUUAACUUGACUAGGCUGAAUGAUAUUUCCUAGAAUUCCCUUUCCUUUGUUUUCUAUUAAAGAGGGAAUGUUUUCUGGUAGACCAUGUAAUAGAGAUAGAA